CCCAGACUCCUACGGGAGGCAGCAGUGAGGAAUAUUGGUCAAUGGCCGCAGGGCUGAACCAGCCAAGUCGCGUGAGGGAUGACGGUCCUAUGGAUUGUAAACCUCUUUUGUCAGGGAGCAAAGGGCGCCACGCGUGGCGUUCCGAGAGUACCCGAAGAAAAAGCAUCGGCUAACUCCGUGCCAGCAGCCGCGGUAAUACGGAGGAUGCGAGCGUUAUCCGGAUUUAUUGGGUUUAAAGGGUGCGCAGGCGGAAUGUCAAGGCAGGGGUUAAAUUUCGGGGCUCAACCCCGUCGUGCCGUUGGAACUGGCGUUCUUGAGUGAGCGAGAAGUAUGCGGAAUGCGUGGUGUAGCGGUGAAAUG
Molecule: ribosomal RNA, 360 nt
Filed under: uncultured bacterium
Lineage: Bacteria
Description: bacterial SSU rRNA
Rfam family: Bacterial small subunit ribosomal RNA
Source: RNAcentral